AUUGAACGCUGGCGGAAUGCUUUACACAUGCAAGUCGAACGGCAGCACGGGGGCAGCCCUGGUGGCGAGUGGCGAACGGGUGAGUAAUACAUCGGAACGUGCCCGGUCGUGGGGGAUAACGUAGCGAAAGUUACGCUAAUACCGCAUACGAUCUGAGGAUGAAAGCGGGGGACCUUCGGGCCUCGCGCGAUCGGAGCGGCCGAUGUCAGAUUAGGUAGUUGGUGGGGUAAAGGCCUACCAAGCCGGCGAUCUGUAGCUGGUCUGAGAGGACGACCAGCCACACUGGGACUGAGACACGGCCCAGACUCCUACGGGAGGCAGCAGUGGGGAAUUUUGGACAAUGGGCGCAAGCCUGAUCCAGCCAUUCCGCGUGCAGGACGAAGGCCUUCGGGUUGUAAACUGCUUUUGUACGGAACGAAAAGGCUCUGGCUAAUACCUGGGGCUCAUGACGGUACCGUAAGAAUAAGCACCGGCUAACUACGUG
This 484-nucleotide ribosomal RNA is filed under the name uncultured bacterium. Its description in RNAcentral is "partial 16S ribosomal RNA". It matches the Rfam family "Bacterial small subunit ribosomal RNA", at positions 30 to 507 of the family's 1533-position model. The record is from RNAcentral.